RNAcentral lists this ribosomal RNA (771 nucleotides) under bacterium enrichment culture clone BD6. Its description in RNAcentral is "bacterial SSU rRNA". It matches the Rfam family "Bacterial small subunit ribosomal RNA", at positions 54 to 822 of the family's 1533-position model. The record is from RNAcentral.
CAUGCAGUCGAGGGGCAGCACAGGUAGCAAUACUGGGUGGCGACCGGCGGAUGGGUGCGUAACGCGUAUGCAACCUACCAUUGAUUGGGGCAUAGCCCGAAGAAAUUCGGAUUAAUACUCCAUAAUAUUCAUCAAAGGCAUCUUUUAUGAAUUAAAGCUUUUGCGAUCAAUGAUGGGCAUGCGUGACAUUAGUUAGUUGGUGAGGUAACGGCUCACCAAAACGAUGAUGUCUAGGGGUUCUGAGAGGAUUAUCCCCCACACUGGUACUGAGACACGGACCAGACUCCUACGGGAGGCAGCAGUGAGGAAUAUUGGUCAAUGGACGCAAGUCUGAACCAGCCAUGCCGCGUGCAGGAUGACGGCCCUAUGGGUUGUAAACUGCUUUUCCACGGGAAGAACCCUCCGACGUGUCGGAGACUGACGGUACCGUGGGAAUAAGCAUCGGCUAACUCCGUGCCAGCAGCCGCGGUAAUACGGAGGAUGCAAGCGUUAUCCGGAUUUAUUGGGUUUAAAGGGUGCGUAGGUGGGCUUAUAAGUCAGCGGUGAAAUCCCCCGGCUCAACCAGGGAAUUGCCGUUGAUACUGUUAGCCUUGAGUACAGUUGAAGUGGGCGGAAUGUAGCAUGUAGCGGUGAAAUGCAUAGAUAUGCUACAGAACACCAAUAGCGAAGGCAGCUCACUAAGUUGUAACUGACACUAAUGCACGAAAGCGUGGGGAUCAAACAGGAUUAGAUACCCUGGUAGUCCACGCUGUAAACGAUGAUCACUCGUUG